This 497-nucleotide ribosomal RNA is filed under the name uncultured bacterium. RNAcentral's name for it is "partial 16S ribosomal RNA". It matches the Rfam family "Bacterial small subunit ribosomal RNA", at positions 28 to 507 of the family's 1533-position model. The record is from RNAcentral.
GAUGAACGCUGGCGGCGUGCCUAAUACAUGCAAGUCGAGCGAACAGAUAAGGAGCUUGCUCCUUUGACGUUAGCGGCGGACGGGUGAGUAACACGUGGAUGACCUACCUAUAAGACUGGGAUAACUUCGGGAAACCGGAGCUAAUACCGGAUAACAUAUUGAACCGCAUGGUUCAAUAGUGAAAGGCGGCUUUGCUGUCACUUAUAGAUGGAUCCGCGCCGUAUUAGCUAGUUGGUAAGGUAACGGCUUACCAAGGCAACGAUACGUAGCCGACCUGAGAGGGUGAUCGGCCACACUGGAACUGAGACACGGUCCAGACUCCUACGGGAGGCAGCAGUAGGGAAUCUUCCGCAAUGGGCGAAAGCCUGACGGAGCAACGCCGCGUGAGUGAUGAAGGUCUUCGGAUCGUAAAACUCUGUUAUCAGGGAAGAACAAAUGUGUAAGUAACUGUGCACAUCUUGACGGUACCUGAUCAGAAAGCCACGGCUAACUACGUG